CACAUUGAACCUUCGGGGGAUUUGUUGGGAGGCGAGCGGCGGACGGGUGAGUAAUGCCUAGGAAAUUGCCCUGAUGUGGGGGAUAACCAUUGGAAACGAUGGCUAAUACCGCAUGAUGCCUACGGGCCAAAGAGGGGGACCUUCGGGCCUCUCGCGUCAGGAUAUGCCUAGGUGGGAUUAGCUAGUUGGUGAGGUAAGGGCUCACCAAGGCGACGAUCCCUAGCUGGUCUGAGAGGAUGAUCAGCCACACUGGAACUGAGACACGGUCCAGACUCCUACGGGAGGCAGCAGUGGGGAAUAUUGCACAAUGGGCGCAGGCCUGAUGCAGCCAUGCCGCGUGUAUGAAGAAGGCCUUCGGGUUGUAAAGUACUUUCAGUAGGGAGGAAGGUUCAUACGUUAAUAGCGUAUGGAUUUGACGUUACCUACAGAAGAAGCACCGGCUAACUCCGUGCCAGCAGCCGCGGUAAUACGGAGGGUGCGAGCGUUAAUCGGAAUUACUGGGCGUAAAGCGCAUGCAGGUGGUUAGUUAAGUCAGAUGUGAAAGCCCGGGGCUCAACCUCGGAAUUGCAUUUGAAACUGGCUGACUAGAGUACUGUAGAGGGGGGUAGAAUUUCAGGUGUAGCGGUGAAAUGCGUAGAGAUCUGAAGGG
Molecule: ribosomal RNA, 649 nt
Filed under: uncultured bacterium
Lineage: Bacteria
Description: bacterial SSU rRNA
Rfam family: Bacterial small subunit ribosomal RNA
Source: RNAcentral